This 67-nucleotide transfer RNA is filed under the name Hydrocolus stagnalis. RNAcentral describes it as "tRNA-Glu". Lineage: Eukaryota; Metazoa; Arthropoda; Insecta; Coleoptera; Dytiscidae. The record is from RNAcentral.
AUUUAUAUAGUUUAAAUAAAACAUUAUAUUUUCAAUAUAAAAAUAAAAUUUAAUAUUUUUAUAAAUA